AACGAACGCUGGCGGCAUGCCUAACACAUGCAAGUCGAACGAGACCUUCGGGUCUAGUGGCGCACGGGUGCGUAACGCGUGGGAACCUGCCCUUAGGUUCGGAAUAACUCCCCGAAAGGGGUGCUAAUACCGGAUAAUGUCUUCGGACCAAAGAUUUAUCGCCUUUGGAUGGGCCCGCGUUGGAUUAGCUAGUUGGUAGGGUAAAAGCCUACCAAGGCGACGAUCCAUAGCUGGUCUGAGAGGAUGAUCAGCCACACUGGGACUGAGACACGGCCCAGACUCCUACGGGAGGGAGCAGUGGGGAAUAUUGGACGAUGGGCGAAAGCCUGAUCCAGCAAUGCCGCGUGAGUGGUGAAGGCCUUAGGGUUGUAAAGCUCUUUUACCCGGGAUGAUAAUGACAGUACCGGGAGAAUAAGCUCCGGCUAACUCCGUG
RNAcentral lists this ribosomal RNA (433 nucleotides) under uncultured bacterium. RNAcentral describes it as "partial 16S ribosomal RNA". It matches the Rfam family "Bacterial small subunit ribosomal RNA", at positions 29 to 507 of the family's 1533-position model. The record is from RNAcentral.